UGCAUGGUUGUCGUCAGCUCGUGUCGUGAGAUGUUGGGUUAAGUCCCGCAACGAGCGCAACCCUUAAGCUUAGUUGCCAUCAUUAAGUUGGGCACUCUAAGUUGACUGCCGGUGACAAACCGGAGGAAGGUGGGGAUGACGUCAAAUCAUCAUGCCCCUUAUGAUUUGGGCUACACACGUGCUACAAUGGACAAUACAAAGGGCAGCGAAACCGCGAGGUCAAGCAAAUCCCAUAAAGUUGUUCUCAGUUCGGAUUGUAGUCUGCAACUCGACUACAUGAAGCUGGAAUCGCUAGUAAUCGUAGAUCAGCAUGCUACGGUGAAUACGUUCCCGGGUCUUGUACACACCGCCCGUCACACCACGAGAGUUUGUAACACCCGAAGCCGGUGGAGUAACCUUUUAGGAGCUAGCCGUCGAAGGUGGGACAAAUGAUUGGGGUGAAGUCGUAACAAGGUAGCCGUAUCGGAAGGUGCGGCUGGAUCACC
Molecule: ribosomal RNA, 485 nt
Filed under: Staphylococcus aureus
Lineage: Bacteria; Bacillati; Bacillota; Bacilli; Caryophanales; Staphylococcaceae
Description: bacterial SSU rRNA
Rfam family: Bacterial small subunit ribosomal RNA
Source: RNAcentral